This 229-nucleotide ribosomal RNA is filed under the name uncultured bacterium. RNAcentral describes it as "partial 16S ribosomal RNA". It matches the Rfam family "Bacterial small subunit ribosomal RNA", at positions 568 to 796 of the family's 1533-position model. The record is from RNAcentral.
UCCGUAGGCGGACUAAUAAGUCAGGGGUGAAAUCCAACAGCUUAACUGUUGAACUGCCCUUGAUACUGUUAGUCUUGAAUUAUAUGGAAGUAGAUAGAAUGUGUAGUGUAGCGGUGAAAUGCUUAGAGAUUACACAGAAUACCGAUUGCGAAGGCAGUCUACUACGUAUAUAUUGACGCUAAUGGACGAAAGCGUGGGGAGCGAACAGGAUUAGAUACCCUGGUAGUCC